AGCAGAAUUUUGUGAUAUACAUAUAUGAUUUUAUUGGAGAGUAAAAUUAAUAAUAAGAAAAUAUCCUUCCUAGAAAAUUUUUCAUUAAACUUACAUACAUGAUUGCGAAUUGAUCGAAAAAUCCAUCGUUAAAAUAACGCGAUAGAAACUUUAUACAAUCAAUACUGACCUAUCUUAAGCAAUGCGGAGAAUUUUCGACAAAGGUACGUUUACAGAUACAAAAUUAAAAGAAUUAAAGACAAAAUCAUAUGAUCAUAAUAUAAAUAUUCUCUUAUCUCUAAGACUUUCUCUCAUCUCCUUAUCCAAAUACGUUCAAUUCACUUCUUCUGUCCUGAAUCAGAGAUUCUAAACGAAGAUAGAGCACUAUCGAAGAAAGGGCAUCAGAAGAACCAGGCUAGAAGAGAGAUAGAGUGUGGGUAGGGAGGAGGGAGCGAGAGCGAUGCAAUGCAUCGCGGUCACUCCAGUGACCUAGUAAUGUCCGCCGCGACCUUAGUUGCGACGUGUUCACCCGUUUAAACCACCCUUCGUCCCCCUCUUUUCCCCUCGCCAUCAUCAUCCUCCUACUCCCCCUCUUGCUCCCAUUCUCUUAUCCGCACCACACGUGACAGUACGGCGCGAGGGGGCGAAGGGGGCCAGGCGUGGGAUAUUCUCGCAAGGUGCGGAAAGGGGGAAUCAAGAGAAGAGAGAGAGAGAGAGAGAGAGAGAGAGAGAGAGAGAGAGAGAGAGAGAGAGUGUGUGACUAGGGCAGGCAGGGAGAGGAUGAUAUAUACAAAACACAAGGUCACAGGAGAAGUGCGAUUGUGUGGACGGCCGUGUCGGUGAAGACGCGGUGUGACGUAACACUCGGCGACGACGCGAACACGUGAUUUGCACGGUGGUAGCGUUAUCAUGAUACUCUCUUACCUGGCGAUAUGCCAUGCCCGGGAAAAUCCCCGAAGGUGGAAACGGAGCCGAGAUAGAAGAGCCUGGGCAAGGACGGAAAAAGGAUGGAGCAUGGAACAUAAUCUCCCAGCGGUAUUCCCGGACCCUCUGCCGUAGCAAAAGCUCAUUAGAAGUCGCCCUUUGAAAAUCGUCCUGCUACAAGCAGCUGCCCUACGGCGCAGUAACGGACGCUUCAUGGCGCUAUUUUUCCAGUUUAAUGCAGCUCAUCCGAUGCUGUUUGAGAAAAAAAACAUUGGGUACACACUGAAUAUUUCCCCAUACAAUACGUCCCUGCGCUUCGCUUUAGUGCUUCGUACAUCCUGCAGGGACGUCGUUCAAAGGGACGACAAAG
Long non-coding RNA from Cataglyphis hispanica, 1273 nucleotides. RefSeq lists it as uncharacterized. NCBI's taxonomy places the organism in Eukaryota, Metazoa, Arthropoda, Insecta, Hymenoptera, Formicidae. The transcript is spliced from 3 exons. The record is from RefSeq and is a predicted model, not a curated record.